Long non-coding RNA from Gallus gallus (chicken), 1254 nucleotides. NCBI's taxonomy places the organism in Eukaryota, Metazoa, Chordata, Aves, Galliformes, Phasianidae. The record is from Ensembl.
AUCUCUAUCUGGUGAUUACUCCUCUUGGAGCCCUUCUGCGAGCCGAGGACAUGGAUUCACUAUUCAGAUGGACAGGAUGCCCCUGAGCAUUCUCGGUUAUAUGCUCCAGGAUGAAAAGCCUCCAGCUCUCUCAACCUUACAGAUGCUUCAGUCUUUCAAUUAACUUUGUGAUCCUUCCCUGGACUUGUUCCAGUAUGAGCAGGUCUUGUACUGUGAGCGCAGCAGUGGGCCUAGAGCUUCAGGUGUGGCCUCACCAGCUCUCAACAGAGGUGAAGGAUCUCUUCCCUUGACCUGAUAACUAUGCUGUGCCAAAUGCAACCCGAAGGAAUGGUUGCCAUUAUUUCUGUAGAGGAAUAUUCCUGGCUUAUGGUCAACUUGGUGCCCACCAGGAGUUCCAGGGCUCUCUCUGCAUGUUCGCUUUCCAGCUGGUUGGCCUCCAGCCUGCACAGAUACAUGAGGCUUUAUUCCUCCCCAAGUGCAGGACUCUGUACUCCCUACUGGUGAACUUCAGAAGGUCUCAUGUCAUUUCUUUGUUCGCUUUAGGUUCCUUUGAACAGCAGCACAACCCUUCUGUGCAUCAGCUGCUAUUUCCAGCUUAGUAUCAGCUGCAGAAUAUCAUGGUCUAUGCAUGAGGAUUAAACUGUUGUCUCUUCUGGAGAAGUAACAAAUGCAGGCAAUGUUGAGGCCAAGACUUCUGAGUGCUGAUCAACUGCUUUUUUUUUUUUCCUUUAGUUGUUGUCUUUUCUGUUUUGUUUUCAAUAAGCUGGAUGCCAGUAUAGGUAUUUUGCCGUAAAAUUGCGAGUCUUGUUGGAUACCCUGAGUUCCUUUGAGUGAUAUCCUACAAUAACAAAAUUUCAGUAAUUGUAAUGACUACUUGGCAGAGAUGACAAUCCAUCACCAACAUUAACACUUCAGAUUUUUGUGAUUCAAUAUUUGAUCUAAUAAGGGGAACAUUAUAAAAAGCUUAUGGCUUUUUUCAAUAUUUGCACCAUUCAAGAAACUCUACCAAGCUGUGGGCAACAUGGUACUCUCAGUAAAUACAAGCUAGUAGUUAGCAUCAAAAGCUUGGCAAUUAUUUUAACUUUCUUGCUAGGGGGCAAAUAAAAUGCCAGUUGUAAAAUAUUUUAAUUUUUUUAUUGUUCAGUUUCCCCUUUAACAGUAUUACUGAAGGUCUGAAUGCUUUUCUUCUUCAUGCCUGUCUGUUUGCACAUGACAUGCCUGUGAAAGUUCUUACUCAUAAAUGCAUACCUUGAG